RNAcentral lists this long non-coding RNA (244 nucleotides) under Elaeis guineensis (African oil palm). Its description in RNAcentral is "long non-coding RNA (EGUI_LNC006892)". The record is from RNAcentral. Lineage: Eukaryota; Viridiplantae; Streptophyta; Magnoliopsida; Arecales; Arecaceae.
AUAGUAAAAUAGAGGACUUAUUAUUUCAUUUUUUUAAUGGAACAGUGUGGAUCAUCUUUUUUCUUCUUUUUUAUUAUGUGGACUGUGGAUCAUUUUUUUUCCUUUUCUUCCAUGGUAAAACAGGGAUCCUUUCUCUUUUUUUUUUUAACAGAAUAGAGGACUCAUCCCUCGUUCCUGAGGCAAGGCCGUAAGGGAGAUCCUCCUCUCCGGCCAACACCGCCCACAACUAAAUGAGCGGUCCCCG